Brachypodium distachyon (stiff brome) is the source of this 135-nucleotide non-coding RNA. The record is from Rfam. Lineage: Eukaryota; Viridiplantae; Streptophyta; Magnoliopsida; Poales; Poaceae.
AAAGUAAUUCCUCCGUCCAAUAAAGAUGUCUCAACUUUGACUAAAUUUGAAUGCAUCUAUAUACUAAGUCAAGUUUAGAUACAUCCAAUUUUUGAUAAAUUUGAGACAUCUUUUGUUGGACGGAGAGAAUACUCC